GAGAUCCUCAAGAAUGCAGUUAUCGAUGACCUGAGGGGUGUGAUUCGUGAAGAGCUCUAAUAACUUUUGUUUGGAAUGGCUGCAAACCAAGUCUCAUCGGCUGCUCCGGUUGCACCUAAUGCCUCCACCAUAGCUAAUCCCCUUGCUAUUAUUGACCCAAUCACUAUUGCUGUUGAAACUGCUAUUGUUGCCACAACUGCUGCUGCUAAUGCCAAAGAUCUUG
RNAcentral lists this long non-coding RNA (223 nucleotides) under Ricinus communis (castor bean). RNAcentral's name for it is "long non-coding RNA (RCOM_LNC000566)". Lineage: Eukaryota; Viridiplantae; Streptophyta; Magnoliopsida; Malpighiales; Euphorbiaceae. The record is from RNAcentral.